Molecule: ribosomal RNA, 253 nt
Filed under: uncultured bacterium
Lineage: Bacteria
Description: partial 16S ribosomal RNA
Rfam family: Bacterial small subunit ribosomal RNA
Source: RNAcentral
UACGAAGGGGGCUAGCGUUGCUCGGAAUCACUGGGCGUAAAGCGCACGUAGGCGGCUUUUUAAGUCAGGGGUGAAAUCCUGGAGCUCAACUCCAGAACUGCCUUUGAUACUGAGAAGCUUGAGUUCGGGAGAGGUGAGUGGAACUGCGAGUGUAGAGGUGAAAUUCGUAGAUAUUCGCAAGAACACCAGUGGCGAAGGCGGCUCACUGGCCCGGUACUGACGCUGAGGUGCGAAAGCGUGGGGAGCAAACAGG